AUCCAGUUGACGAGUCUCAAAUAGGAUAAAACCCAAGUCCUGGAU
This 45-nucleotide non-coding RNA is filed under the name Schistosoma mattheei. Lineage: Eukaryota; Metazoa; Platyhelminthes; Trematoda; Strigeidida; Schistosomatidae. The record is from RNAcentral.